UCUCACAAAUCUUCUAGAAAAAACUUGCCAAACGGGCACUUCUCGAUCGGGACGAAACAGAAUCAGUUGGUUACGAGUCAAUUUUUCAAGCUGCAGGCAUUCGCUUGGACGAUGAUGAUGGGGCCAUGUACGUAAUGGUGGAUCAUACUCUUCUCAAAGCUCGACACGUUGGGAGUUAGCUUCCUCGAAAACCGCAAUUUUGCUUCAUGAAGCCUCGUCAGUCGUCACAAGCAACUCCCACUUCAAUUUUUGAUCGUUUUCUUUUCCUUCUCCCAAAUAAACGUCUGUAUCAAGAGAGAGAAGCCGCUGUUUAACCAUCAUUGGAGCCAUAGGUAAAACGCCCAAAGCAGGGAUGGGUCUGGAGUCUCCUGAUAGGAGAUGGGAGGAUAUCAAUGCUCCUCAGGAAGAGGCCAAUUCAACUGUCAUUGGAAAAUUAGACCUUAAUCUUGCAGUGAGUAGGGAAGAAGGGAUUGAGGGUUAUGGUCAUGAAAAUGAUGCAUGGAGUAAUAAACUUAAAGUGGAUUUGAACCACCAAGGGCAGCAUGAUUUCCUCUCAAUGCAUGUUGAUGUUAUGUGCGAGGGACUAGAAUCUCCUUGUAUGGAAUCUAGCUUACCACAGAAGACUGACCAAGAUCAGGGUGAGAUGAGUACAAGAAACAUUGCCUAUAAUCAGGGAAUGUUACCACCUUCACCUACAUCAACAAACAAACAUUACUAUGAGGAAAGGGAGGUGGUAUCUGGUAGUUAUUCUAAUAGAUCUUCCUCCCCAAUUGAGAUAGAAGCUUUCAGGGAUGAAAUGAGAAACAAAGAAUCUUGUAAAUCUCCUUUAGAAGUUGAUGUGCAUCAUCAGGGAGGAAUCCUUGAACAGGAAAAUUCUGAUCUAUGGAGGGGAAGUUCUCCUCUCCAUAAAAAAAAAAAGUUCUCUUCUCCAUGAUAAAAAGUUGGAGGAAAAAAUUUCCAGAAGUUUACAAUGUGAGAAAAAUGAAUCUGCUUGUGAGGAAAUGGAAAUGGGAAAUAACAAUCACCCCAUGGAAAGGUCUGUGUGCCCUGCAAAAAUGCAAAACAGCCCUGAUGAAACUGAGCAGGAUGUUUUUCAUGCAAGUAGAUUAUCUACUGAUAGCAGAAAAUUGGAGCUGCAUCACUCAGAUUUGUACUCUCCACAGAGAACAUCAGAAAGAUCAGUAUCACCUCUGAGGCAAAUGUCUAUCUCUCCCAAAAGGUCGACGCAUAUGGAACUAUCCCUGGUUCAAAAACCAAUAUCUCCACCACAGAAUAUUCAAGACCCAUUAUAUUCUACCAGACCUUCCAGGCAGAAAUGCUUCCCUCCUCUUGAAAGGUCUACUGCAGAUGGUAAAAGGAUUUCUUCCCAAGGGCAUUUAUCUCCAGCCAGAGGGAAUUUUGCUUCUCCAUGGAGGCAAUCUUCACAAGAUUCCCAAUGCAGGGAUGGAUGUUCUGAGAAAUGCCCAUCUAGAUCAUCAAGAGGUCACCAUUUACCAUCAGAUGAUAGACAACCAGGCAGGUCACAGUCACAAUCACCCAAUAGAUGUAGAUAUUCUUCUGCAUAUAGAAGAGACGAUUGUGAUCGAUCUCGAUCAAGGUCCUCACGUACAGGAGACCAUCAGAGAAGACCCCCAAGGAUGUAUUCCCCUAGACACAGAUCUCCUCCUUCAGGGUAUCAUUCUCGUCGUCGAUCUCCUAGAAGGAGACCUUGGUCACCACCUCCUAACCGGAGCACUGGAGUGGGAAGACCUGGAAAUAAUUUAUUUGUUGCAGGUUUUAGUUUUGUGACAACAGAAAGAGAUCUUGAAAGGAAGUUUUCAAGGUUUGGUCGUGUGAGAGAUGUUCGCAUUGUUCGGGAUAAGAGAACCUGGCUCUGUAGAGCAUGGAAUUUUGCCAACAAUGUCUGGUAGUGUGGCCUUAGAAUCCUCAAGGCCUUCUGAUGAUAAUGGUGGUGGUAGCUUUAUCAAAAACACAAGUUCAUUGGGAAGUGUUGAUAUUGGACCAGGCUCUCUGCUUGAUGGAUCAGAUCCUGGUGUCCUUGGGUCUAGCUAUCAAAAGGCACCAAGCCUUCAUUGCUGUUAUGGAUGGACUGAGGACUGGCGUUGGCUAAUUAGCAUCUGGACUGAUUCAAGAGGAGAGUUGCUUGAUAGCCAUAUAUUCCCUUUUGGUGGCAUUAGCAGUAAACAGGACACAAAGGGAUUACAAUGCCUUUUUGUUCAAGUUCUGCAAAGAUCCAAGAUAUUGUGAUAACUCGAAUCGGAUGUUUCUAUGAGCUUGAAUGCCAAGAAUGGCAGAAAGCCAUUUACACAGUUGGUGGAAAUGAAGUAAAAGAAGGCAGAAACCAAAAAGAAGUCACCAUGUUACGUUCCAAAUUUGUUUGUAGUAUAAAUCUGGGAUUGAUCCACUUAACUUGUUAUCCGAGGGAUCUAGGUACUCUAGAUUGGUCAAGAUACCAAUUUCACGAGGAAUACUCCCAGUGAACUGAUUGGAUUGGAGUUGAAGGUUACUUAGUUUAAUUUUUUCCACUUCCCAAACAAAUUUGGUUCAAUUCCCUUGUUAGUACAUUACUGUGUAAAUAGAGUUGUGAAAUAUGGGUGAGGUUAGCUAGAGAAAGAGGUAAGACACCAGAAAGUUGGUUCAUAGACAAGUCAAGGUAGGUAAACUUCGGCCAGUUUCUAAAGAAAUUAGAAUCUAUAAUACCAUCAGAAAUUACAAAUGUCCCAUCUACAUGCUAGCUGGCUCUUUUUGAUUACAAUGGUAACUGAAAACUAUGCAAAAUAUUUUCAAAAAGUCCUACUUAUCAACGCCUUGGAUUUUAAGAGAUUAAAUAUUUAAUAUGAAAAUGUAUCCAGCAGGCUAGUCAUUUAUUGUACAAAGCCAUAAUCUGAAUCUGUGACAGUUUUCUUCAUCACAUGGCAGAAGUUCAUAGGCUAACUUGAUAACCAUAAAAGAAACUAAAUGAUUAAGUUGCAGUUCUCACAGCAAGAAGGCUUCCACUGCCUGGAAAACCCUUUGUCAGUGGAAGUUCUUCGCUAGAUGUAGAUGGAAGUAAACCCUGCUUUUCAACCCACUGGCGAGCAGACAAGAUUAAAGAUACAGAGAGAGAGAGAUAGAGAGAAAGAGAGUUUGAGUACCUGAGAUGGAAGCCUAAAUCGCCAUAUUGGUCUCCGUUAAACCCUAAUAUUCGUCCUUCCCUCUGCGUUCUCUGAUAGCCUUAAUCGUCGUAUCUCUGCUAAAACCUAGAGUUCCCUCUUCGUUUUCCGACAGCUUAAAUCGUUGUAUUGAUCGAGUGGUCUCAGCUAAACCCUAGAUUUCAUCAUUUCCUCUUCUAGUUCAGGCGUUCUCCAGUCUCCACUUCUCUGUAUAAUCGAGUGAUUCUAUGCUUCUUGAUGGGUUCGAUCACCCAACCCACCCAAUCCAUUAAAUAAAUGGGUUCGACCCAUUAAUAAUUGGGUGAGUUGGGCGGGUUCAGCGGGUUGGGUAAAAAAUUGCCACCCCUAGAUAUGUGUAAUAAUAAAGGGAAGAGAAAUAGGGAAGAAAAUAGGCGUCCAAGAAUUAGGUGGGAAAACUUGAAAGGAGAAAAGCUAGCUCAAUUUAGAAAUAUAUUGAUAAUAGUAGGGAAUUGGAAUUUAGAUGGAAAGACUGAUGACAUUUGGCUUGAAAUGAUAAACGAUAUAAAGAAAGUAGCAAAGGAUGUCUUAGGAGAAUAUAAAAGCAAGUGGUAAAGUACUAAAGAAACUUGGUGGUGGAAUGAAGGGGUUCAAAAUAUAAUUAGACUAAAACGAGCAUGCUACAAAGAAUGACAAAAAGCUAGAAAUGUAGAAAACUGGGAAAAAUAUAAAACCAUAAGAACUGAAGUUAAAAAGAAAGUGAAUGAAGUUUAAUGUAAGGAUUAUGAUGGGCUUUACCAUAAAUUAGGCAUUAAAGAGGGAGAAAAAGGAAUAUAUAAACUAGCAAAGAUGAGAGAAAAGAAAGGCAGAGAUUUAAAC
This is a non-coding RNA of Nelumbo nucifera (sacred lotus), 3989 nucleotides long. The record is from RefSeq and is a predicted model, not a curated record. NCBI's taxonomy places the organism in Eukaryota, Viridiplantae, Streptophyta, Magnoliopsida, Proteales, Nelumbonaceae.